RNAcentral lists this ribosomal RNA (468 nucleotides) under uncultured bacterium. Its description in RNAcentral is "partial 16S ribosomal RNA". It matches the Rfam family "Bacterial small subunit ribosomal RNA", at positions 28 to 507 of the family's 1533-position model. The record is from RNAcentral.
GACGAACGCUGGCGGCGUGCUUAACACAUGCAAGUCGAACGGAAAGGCCCUGCUUUUGUGGGGUGCUCGAGCGGCGAACGGGUGAGUAACACGUGAGUAACCUGCCCUUGACUUUGGGAUAACUUCAGGAAACUGGGGCUAAUACCGGAUAGGAGCUCCUGCUGCAUGGUGGGGGUUGGAAAGUUUCGGCGGUUGGGGAUGGACUCGCGGCUUAUCAGCUUGUUGGUGGGGUAGUGGCUUACCAAGGCUUUGACGGGUAGCCGGCCUGAGAGGGUGACCGGCCACAUUGGGACUGAGAUACGGCCCAGACUCCUACGGGAGGCAGUAGUGGGGAAUAUUGCACAAUGGGCGGAAGCCUGAUGCAGCAACGCCGCGUGCGGGAUGACGGCCUUCGGGUUGUAAACCGCUUUCGCCUGUGACGAAGCGUGAGUGACGGUAAUGGGUAAAGAAGCACCGGCUAACUACGUG